This is a long non-coding RNA of Danio aesculapii, 403 nucleotides long. RefSeq lists it as uncharacterized. The record is from RefSeq and is a predicted model, not a curated record. The transcript is spliced from 2 exons. Lineage: Eukaryota; Metazoa; Chordata; Actinopteri; Cypriniformes; Danionidae.
GAACGGAGGAGGGAGAAGCAGAGUGGGUGCCAAGAUGCAGAAGUUAACAAAGCGAAUCGGUCCCAAAUACGUAAAAAUUGCCAGAAUCUGGAUCCCCAAUAUUAUCGGAUGGGGUGCAGUGGCUGUGGCCAUUUUACAGACUGACGGAUUUACAGAUUGAUUCUGGAUUAUGUUCCCUUCGUUCGAGGCAAAUUCAAGAAGGACGGCUAGCUAUCAGACCCUGAAUAUUGGACCUACAGAAAGCAAGUGUACAUUCCUAAAUAAUAAGUAUAGCUGAUGGCUUGUGUUGCCAGGAGGCGGCGCUGGUGAUGCAAUAUGAACCUAUAACACUGAACAGGACAAUCUGAUCUGUCAUUUUAACGUGAUAAUUCACCCCCCAAAAAAGAAAAUAUACUCAACUAUU